This is a long non-coding RNA of Catharus ustulatus (Swainson's thrush), 1235 nucleotides long. RefSeq lists it as uncharacterized. The record is from RefSeq and is a predicted model, not a curated record. NCBI's taxonomy places the organism in Eukaryota, Metazoa, Chordata, Aves, Passeriformes, Turdidae. The transcript is spliced from 3 exons.
GACAUGCAGUGAGGGUUUUUUAAUUCUUCAUUGCAGUUUAAAAAUCCCUACCGGGGAAUGAAUUUUCUGAUCAUCCAAACUCAUGGAAGUCAAGGAGUCUAUUAUAUUAAUGGCAUAUUUCAUUGCUUUAAAAUUCAAAAGUGACAAUCUAUGACACCAGUUAGGAAUAACAGAGAGGGAAUAAGCCCAAGAGCCAAGGCAGUGAAUGAUGACACACUGCUCCUUGAGCACUGCACCUUCCUAUGUCUGAAAGUACUGCCACAAUGGAAAAUUUACUGCAUUAGAAGGAAAAGACUUUUUCUGGUCCAUAACUGUCUGUAUCUGCCCAAUAAAAGAAAUUGGACAUUUUGGGGGUAUCUACUUAAUGAUUAUUUUGUCACUGCAGUGCCACUGGAGAGUUUGGGCAAAUCCUCCAGAAACCAGAAAGAAAUGAUUUGGAGGAAUUCCUGAGAAGAAAGAGGAUGGAUGUCAUUGUUAUGAGACCUCUCUCCUCUCUAAAAAAAUGCCCUCAAAAGCAGUGAUAAAGUCUUUCAGUAAGGAACAUCAAAGACUGUCAUCAAAGAGACAGGCUCUUCAGGAAGAACAAAAAGAGACGAAUCACCAACCACAUCAGAGGGCUGAGCUGAGCAACUGAAGGACUGGAAAGACAUGUUCUCCCUAAGGAUGCUGAAAGCGAUACCCAUCAAAAGGCAACAUUGUUGAACACUCUCCUAGAAGUGUGUGUUAGUGGUUAUCCAUGCCCUUUAUUGACCUUCACAACCUUGGUUAAGUCAAGAGGCCGAGUACUCCAUUUUGUUCAAAAUGCUGCCUGACUGAAGCAGCAUGAAGCAGCAGGAGAAACACACCGAGGAGCACCCCAAGGUUUUUCUUCUAGUAUGGGGAAAACAGUAGGGAAAUCCUGUUCAGCUCUUCAUUAGCAGAGCAGCUUCUGCAGAACAAGGUAGCGGGAAAUGCUUAAAAUUGGGCAUUCUCUCCACUCCACUCCACUAUUAAUAUGCAAAAAAAUUAUUUUCAAAGCGAAGAAAAAUUGAACUGUUUUUUGUACAGAAACACCUGGUCAUUGCCUUAAAUUACUUUCUAUUUUCUCUUCUCUUAAAGAUGAGACUAUUACCAGGUAAAGAAGGGUGUAGUGAUUCUGCUUACUAGGGAUAAUAAAUGAAAACCUAUAGAGUAGUGGAUGCUAGUAUGUUAGCAUUCCUAUUUAUUAAACUCAACACAUUAAAUUGUUUAAAAUA